This 680-nucleotide ribosomal RNA is filed under the name Salmonella enterica. RNAcentral's name for it is "partial 23S ribosomal RNA". It matches the Rfam family "Bacterial large subunit ribosomal RNA", at positions 612 to 1289 of the family's 2925-position model. The record is from RNAcentral. Lineage: Bacteria; Pseudomonadati; Pseudomonadota; Gammaproteobacteria; Enterobacterales; Enterobacteriaceae.
AUAAUGGGUCAGCGACUUAUAUUCUGUAGCAAGGUUAACCGUAUAGGGGAGCCGAAGGGAAACCGAGUCUUAACCGGGCGUUAAGUUGCAGGGUAUAGACCCGAAACCCGGUGAUCUAGCCAUGGGCAGGUUGAAGGUUGGGUAACACUAACUGGAGGACCGAACCGACUAAUGUUGAAAAAUUAGCGGAUGACCUGUGGCUGGGGGUGAAAGGCCAAUCAAACCGGGAGAUAGCUGGUUCUCCCCGAAAGCUAUUUAGGUAGCGCCUCGUGAAUUCAUCUCCGGGGGUAGAGCACUGUUUCGGCUAGGGGGCCAUCCCGGCUUACCAACCCGAUGCAAACUGCGAAUACCGGAGAAUGUUAUCACGGGAGACACACGGCGGGUGCUAACGUCCGUCGUGAAGAGGGAAACAACCCAGACCGCCAGCUAAGGUCCCAAAGUCAUGGUUAAGUGGGAAACGAUGUGGGAAGGCCCAGACAGCCAGGAUGUUGGCUUAGAAGCAGCCAUCAUUUAAAGAAAGCGUAAUAGCUCACUGGUCGAGUCGGCCUGCGCGGAAGAUGUAACGGGGCUAAACCAUGCACCGAAGCUGCGGCAGCGAACGUAUCACUUAAAGCGAUUCAGCGGGUUACGAUUGACGGAGCGAAGCGACGUCAAAGCGUAUACAAAGUCGAGUCGGUUUA